GUGCGGCUAACCACUGAUGUUAGGCAGGUGUAAAUUAAAAAUGAACGACCAAUAUUCACUUAAUAAUAUUGACAGCAUCCUUUUUCAGUUUGCUCUUCAAACAAGGAAGCUCUCCCAAAAGAAGAAUGAAAUCAACCAACAAAUUAAAGUUUGCAGAGUUGACACUACUGAGAGGAGGUCGUACAUCGAAACAAUCCACAGAAAUAUCAAAAGACUUGAGGAGGAAAUCAGGGCGAAGCAGAGCACUGUGAUGCAUAAUAAAGCAAAUGC
Molecule: long non-coding RNA, 270 nt
Organism: Anarrhichthys ocellatus (wolf-eel)
Lineage: Eukaryota; Metazoa; Chordata; Actinopteri; Perciformes; Anarhichadidae
Exons: 3
Source: RefSeq, a predicted model, not a curated record